Long non-coding RNA from Prosopis cineraria, 1824 nucleotides. RefSeq lists it as uncharacterized. The record is from RefSeq and is a predicted model, not a curated record. NCBI's taxonomy places the organism in Eukaryota, Viridiplantae, Streptophyta, Magnoliopsida, Fabales, Fabaceae. The transcript has 3 exons.
CAUGUGACCCCUACACUGCUCCCCUUAUUCUUUUUCAUCUAUCGGUUAUGAGGUUUCCAUUUCAGAUCAUUGCUUGCAACCCCAAUCGGCAAAGCCACAAGUCCUCCAAUUCUUCCGACUCCGACCACAGCUUCCACUAAGCCACAGAUCCUCUGAUUCCUCCGACCACCGCUUCCUUUUCUGUAGGUAUGGGCUACCUUUUUCUCUCUAACUCAUCUCAUCUUUCCUUCCUUCCUUUAUCUCAUCCCAUUACUCUGCUAUGGACAUAAGGAGAAAUUGAAGUGAGCAGCAUAAAUUUAGUUUUCCCUCAAUCAUUGCUCCCUAUAAUAGAUCGUAGCCUCCGACCCUAUGGACAAGCCACAGAUCCUCCUGUUUGUUCUGUUUCUCAUCACGUUCAUCUCACCAACGAUGGCAGCCGAGACUACUGCAUUCUCCAACCUUCUCUAUCAGAUACAGAGGAAGAAUAACAAGGCCACAUGAGCUGGAGUCUAAUGCUGCUGAAGAUUGUGAGGCGGUAGAUACAACUAAUGAUGUCACGAAGGAUAAUACGGAUCCACUACAGCGAAACGGCAGUAGGGAGGAGCAAGUAUAGCAAGAUCGACUCCUAAGACCCAAGCAAAUGGAAUUGUUUCGGACUAGAUGCUUGCAUUCAGACACUAGAAGUACAAGGCACUAGCAGGGGCAUUUCAUCAGUCGAUUUUGGGCUUCCUUUUGUCAUUAUUUGGAUUGAAACUUAUAAAUGCUUACAGCUGGUGAUAUAUAUCCAUUGACAGGACCUUUUUCUUAGGAUGGAGAUAUGGAAGGACACCUUGAGCAUUGUACAAUGAAGUUUGUAUCCUACUGCUUAAUUUUUUUGCUUUUCUAUGCCAUAAAUGAUAUGAUCGCAUCUAAUACAUUAAGGCUACAUAGUUUAUCCAUUAGUUAGUUUCUAUUGCACAGUAGUAUUUUCCAGUUUGCUUUUAAGAAAAAGUCCCAUAUGCCUGUUUUGCCCUCUUCACAAUCAGUAUUUGAUACACAGGACCAAACUCAUUACACUAUCAAUGAAUAGCUGAUCUCACGUGUUUGCUUGCCUAUUUUGACCAAGGCAUGCUUCAGUAGUAGAUCUUAGGGAGAGAGUGAUAAUUUAUGCUCCUAUUCCUUUGAAUCUAAUAAGUAAUUUUUAAAUCAAUCAUAACCCAAAGAUUUUGUGCUUUUGCUUUUUUAUUUAAAUAUGGUAAUUUGUUUGAAUCUUCUAUGAAUGUGUUUUUCAGUGCAAUCAGCUAUUAACAUGAGAGUCUAAUAGCAAUUAAUCACUUGUCCUCUGUAUUAUUUCCCCGUCUCAUUGAUGCAUUGCUGGAUAUGUUUUCUUCUCUCAGUUUGUUCUUUCUGCUAUUUGUCUGUUAUUUUGAUAGGCACUAUGACUCAUGACUCAAAAGUUCCUCCACGGCUUUGUUUAAAUAGGCAAGCUGCUUUCUGUAAGCCAUUGAUUGGCAUAUGCAUUUUUAUCAUGAAGGAAAGAUGAGAAGACUAAUGCAACGCGAGUUACCUGUUAAAAUAAAUUUUUUAUUUUAUUCCUAUAAAAAAAAAAUUAGGUUGACCAAGUUUCCUGGAUGAGUUAGUCUCAAGCUUUUGCAGAGUUGUUUCACAGUAUUCUAGAGUCUAAGAUUUAGUUGUUUAUCUUUGGCGAAUUCUUUUAGUCGAUCGACAAUGGUUGUACUCAUCAGGCAAAUUCACUUCGAAGAUGAGUUAUUCUUUUAUAUGUAUGAUAUACCUAAUUUCUUUGAUGGAGUGAGGGGAGACUGAGAGCUCCUUGGCCCUCCCUCUAUCUAUCUAUUACUUCAUUAA